UAGGGAAUAUUAGUAAUGGGCGAAAGCCUGAACUAGCAACGCCGCGUGUGCGAAGAAGGCCUUCGGGUUGUAAAGCACUUUUUGAGAGGAUGAGGAAGGACGGUACUCUCAGAAUAAGUCUCGGCUAACUACGUGCCAGCAGCCGCGGUAACACGUAGGAGGCAAACGUUAUCCGGAUUUACUAGGCGUAAAGCGCGUGUAGGUGGUUUGGUAAGUAGGGCGUGAAAGCUCCUGGCUCAACUGGGAGAGGCCGUUCUAAACUGCCGAACUAGAGGAUGGUAGAGGGAGGUGGAAUUCCGGGUGUAGCGGUGGAAUGCGCAGAUAUCCGGAGGAACACCAGAGGCGAAAGCGGCCUCCUGGACCAUUCCUGACACUCAGACGCGAAAGCUAGGGUAGCAAACGG
RNAcentral lists this ribosomal RNA (403 nucleotides) under uncultured bacterium. RNAcentral describes it as "bacterial SSU rRNA". It matches the Rfam family "Bacterial small subunit ribosomal RNA", at positions 355 to 775 of the family's 1533-position model. The record is from RNAcentral.